RNAcentral lists this ribosomal RNA (236 nucleotides) under uncultured Veillonellaceae bacterium. RNAcentral's name for it is "partial 16S ribosomal RNA". It matches the Rfam family "Bacterial small subunit ribosomal RNA", at positions 114 to 334 of the family's 1533-position model. Lineage: Bacteria; Bacillati; Bacillota; Negativicutes; Veillonellales; Veillonellaceae. The record is from RNAcentral.
CGCGUAAUCAACCUGCCCUUCAGAGGGGGAUAACAACGGGAAACCGUUGCUAAUACCGCGUACGAUUCAUGAACGGCAUCGUUUAUGAAUGAAAGGUGGCCUCUAUGUAUAAGCUAUCGCUGAAGGAGGGGAUUGCGUCUGAUUAGCUAGUUGGAGGGGUAACGGCCCACCAAGGCAAUGAUCAGUAGCCGGUCUGAGAGGAUGAACGGCCACAUUGGGACUGAGACACGGCCCAA